CUAGUCAAGACAGGUCGAGACAGGUCGAGCCUUGGUCAAGACCAUUUCAGACUACACAAAGAUCAUCAAGUACUGAAUCAGACUAAUUAAGUAAAGUCGAGACCUAGUCGAGUACACUUAAGUACAGUUAAGUACAGUCGAGACAAUGUCGAGACUAGUCAAGUAAAAUGUGUUCUCGAUUUUACUGGUCGAGCACAAAAACUGGUCAAUUCAGACUCUGAGCAGUUUGUAGUGUAUGUCAAUGUAAGCCAACAAAAAUAUUUAAUCGAACCCUACCAACCAAUUUUAAUAUUAAGACGCCAAUAUUGACCAUACUUACCGCGGAUCGUUUCACCCUAGGGACCAAACUGAGCAUAUUAUUGGUCUAUACAAGGUGUUGUUUUCAUUGCAAAGGCCUUGGCUAACCUUAACAUGUGUUUUUCAAUAUAAAUCGGUGCUUCAUUAAGCGGAAAUCACGAUAAAGCAUCAUAAAAGCCUAGAAAACCAAAAUAAAGGCAACUACCCAUAAGAGUGAAAAUCUUUCCCCAGCACCGCCCAGGCAUUCCAUUGGAGUAUAUUCUAGCUCAAACUAAUGCUUAGGGUGUCUACUACAUGCCAGAAUCUGUAUUUAUACUAAGAUAUGUGGACAGAGGCCAACAAAAUGUUUAAUCGACCCUUACCCCCAAUUUGGACAGCCUGACGCCAUUAUUGGCAAUAUUUACCCGGGAUCUUUUCACCCUAGGGACCAAACUGAGCAUAUUUUUGAUCUAUUCAAGGUGUCAUUUUCAUUUUAAAAGCCUUUGCUAACUUUAACAUGUGUUUUUCAAUAUAAGUAGGUGCUUCAUUAAGCGGAAAACACGAUAAACCAUCAUAAAAGCUUAGAAAACCAACAUAAAGGCAACUACCCAUAAGAGUGAAAAUCUUCCACAAGCACCGCCCAGGCAUGCUGUUGGGUAUAUAUUAUAGCUCAAACUAAUGCUAAGGGAGUCUUCUACAUGCCAGAAUCUUUAUUUACACUAAAAUAUGUGGACGGAGGCCAACAAAAUGUUUAAUCGACCCUUGCCCUUAUUUGGAAGGCCAGACGCCAUUAUUGACCAUACUAACCCGGAUCUUUUAACCCUAGGGACCAAACUGAUCAUAUUAUUGGUUUAUACAAGGUGUCAUUUUCAUCAAAAAGUUCUUGGCUAACUUUAAGAUGUGUUUUCCAACCUAAAUAGGUGCUUCAUUAAGCGAAAAACACGAUAAAUCAUCAUAAAAGCCAAGAAAAGCAACAUAAAGGCAACUACCCAUCAGAGUAAAAAUCUCCCCCAGCACCGCACAGGCAUGCCAUUGGGGUAUAUUAUAGCUCAAACGAAUGCUAAGAGUGUUUACUAAAUUCCUGAACCUUUACUUAUAAGAAAAUAUGUCAAUGUAAGCCAACAAAAAUAUUUAAUCGAACCCUACCAACCAAUUUUAAUAUUAAGACGCCAAUAUUGACCAUGCUUACCGCGGAUCGUUUCACCCUAGGGACCAAAUUGAGCAUAUUAUUGGUCGUUUCAAAGUGUCAUUUCCAUCGUAAAGGCCUUGGCUAACUUUCACAUGUGUUUUCCAACAUAAAUAGGUGUUUCAUUAAGCGGAAAUCACGAUAAAGCAUCAUAAAAGUCUAGAAAACCAACAUAAAGGCAACUAUCCAUCAGAGUGAAAAUCUCCCCCCAGCGCCGCCCAGGCUUGCCAUAGGGUUAUAUUCUAGCUCAAACUAAUGCUUAGGGUGUCUACUACAUGCCUGAAUCUGUAUUUAUACUAAAAUAUCGGAACAUAGGCCAACAAAAUAUUUAAUCGACCCCUACCCCCAAUUUUAAUAUCCAGACGCCAGUAUUGACCAUACCAACCCCAUAUCUUUUCGCCCUAGGGACCAAACUGAACAUAUUAUUGGUCUAUUCUAGGUGUCAUUUUCAUCGUCAAGGCCUUGGACUAACUUUAAGAUGUGUUUCCAACAGAAAUAGGUGCUUCCUUCACCGGAAUACACAUGAAACCAUCAUAAAAGCCUGGAAAAACCAACAAAAAGGCAACUACACAUAGAGUGUAAACCUUCCCUUAGCACCGCCCAGGCAUGCCAUUUGGGAAUAUUUUAGCUCAAACUAAUGCUUAGGGUGUCUACUACAUGCCCGAAUCUGUAUUUAUACUGAAAUAUGUGGACAUAGGCCAAAAAAAUAUUUAAUCGGCCCCUACCCUCAAUUUUAAUAUCCAGACGCCAAUAUUGACCAUACCAACCAAGGAUUUUUUUCACCCUAGGGACUAAACUGAGCAUAUUAUUGGUCUAUACAAGGUGUCAUUUUUAUCGUUAAAGCCUUUGCUAAUUAUAACAUGUGUUUCCAAC
RNAcentral lists this long non-coding RNA (2335 nucleotides) under Mytilus galloprovincialis (Mediterranean mussel). The record is from RNAcentral. Lineage: Eukaryota; Metazoa; Mollusca; Bivalvia; Mytilida; Mytilidae.